This is a long non-coding RNA of Cucumis melo (muskmelon), 1869 nucleotides long. RefSeq lists it as uncharacterized. The record is from RefSeq and is a predicted model, not a curated record. Lineage: Eukaryota; Viridiplantae; Streptophyta; Magnoliopsida; Cucurbitales; Cucurbitaceae. The transcript has 5 exons.
CUCUACAUCAAUCCUCUCCAUCUCCACCUUCACCGACCGGCCACACUUCUCAUCAACAACCAACCACGGAGCCCUGAAAGAAAACACAUCCCGACCACACUACUCGGUUUCUCAUUGACACCAACCCACGACAUUUCGAUCGGCCCCUACUUGGUUUCUCAAUCUGACGGUGACCCAUAGAGCUGACGGCCACACUACUCGAUUUCUCAUCGACGAUGACCCACCUCCCCAGUUCUCAAUAUGAAAUUCCUUACGAUCCACCUAGUGACCCACCUACUAGAAGCCUCAUCCGCUGGAAAGGAAAUCCCUUACGCUGAAACUCCAUCAUUUUUGUUCAAGAAAAUUGAUUUUCAUGCUAUGUUCUCUUUCUUUUUUAUUUCUAUGUUUUUCUUUGGUUCUUUUUGGCAUCUCUUAAUGUGCACGUUUGAUUUAGAAGAACUUUCUUUGUGUUUCUCCUUGUCAAUGUUUUUAAAAUCGUGAAUGAAUGCACUUGUAUGAUUUUUUAUAGGCAUUUCGAUUUUCAAUUUAUUGCUUGAAUAGAAGUUGAGAAAAUGAGUUUUGGAGUCAUCGGGCAACGAAUUGCGUUUGGAAGAUCUAAUCUAGUAAGGUUUAGAAGACUCUAUUCAUUUGCUUUUGGCGAAUAUGAUGUAUAUAUGAUGAAGACUCUAAUCUAGUAAGGUUUAUAGAAUUAAAGUUGAAUUCUCAUAGUUUUAAUUGUUUAUAUUUUAGGGAAAUAAGGCUUGAAACUAUUAUAGUGGAUUUUUCUUUAUAAAAAAACUGAACUUCUUCAAAGGCAUUGCAUGUCGGUGUGCGUCUAGGCUAAAUUAACUUCAAGAAAUUGUUUCUCUUAGGCAUCUGAUAACAUUCAUUCUUAUGUAGCUUAUAUAUCUUAUGUUAUUGAAUUUUUUUUGUUGAUUAUUACAUUUGUUAGUUGAUAAAUCUUUUUCGCAGACAAGAGAAAAAGAAUUGAAAAGGAAAAAGGCUCUAGAGAAAGCUUUGAAGCUGCAGGAUCAGGAUGUAAGAAGUCAGCAAAUGAUGAAAGCUACACCAGGUGCCCUAUACCAAAGACCUCUAAAGUCUGUUGGCAUCGGUUAAAUCCAAAAGUUUUGCAAGAAUCAAUUGGAGCAAUGAAGCCAUAUUGGAGCAACUGAUCGAUGAUUGUACUAUUUCUCGAUCUUUUUGUCAUUAUUGUGCAAGGGUCAUGCUAAUCUUUCCGUUCCAAUUUUAUUGAAUGUUUUGCGGAUCAUAGUAAAUUGGGAUAGAAUCUUUGAAGUGUGAAAGGAAAUUCUAAAAAUGAUUAUACCUUUUCGUAAUUUUGUUAUCUGUGGCUGUUGUUUCUCUCCCAAUUUUGGUCUUUUUGUUUUUGAUAACUCUCUUGCAUUGUUCCACGUGCAUCCAUAAACCAUCAUUCAUUCAGUAAUUGCAUCUGAAAAAUGUAUCAUUCAUUCAGUAACUCCCUUCCACUAGUUUUGAUUGAAUUAACCAAUUAUCUUAUGAAAAAAGUCUUGAGGUUGACAUUGAGCCAACUGACACAAUUGAUAAUAUUAAGGAGCGGGUUAAGGAUUAAGAGGGGAUUCCCCCUGUACAGCAAAGUUGUGCAGUUGCUUUUUUCGGUAGUCCAUCUCGCCCCCAACUAGUUGCUUUUGUGGCCCAAGUAGAUGAAACUAUAUUGGAGCAACAGAUUGAUUUAUAGGCCUUUUUUUAGGGUUGGCAGCAAAAUUUUGGUUGAAAUGUACUUAUUUAAAUAACUUGUUGGUACCAAAACACAUAUGUUUAUUCUAUUAUUGUAAACUCUUUACCAAGAAUUGUAUAAAUAUUACAAAGUGUAUGUUAACGUAUAUAUAUUAUAGCAUUGACUGUUUGUUUCUA